RNAcentral lists this ribosomal RNA (253 nucleotides) under uncultured bacterium. RNAcentral describes it as "partial 16S ribosomal RNA". It matches the Rfam family "Bacterial small subunit ribosomal RNA", at positions 524 to 776 of the family's 1533-position model. The record is from RNAcentral.
UACGUAGGGUGCAAGCGUUGUCCGGAAUUAUUGGGCGUAAAGAGCUCGUAGGCGGUUUGUCGCGUCUGCUGUGAAAACUCGGGGCUUAACUCCGGGCCUGCAGUGGGUACGGGCAGACUAGAGUGCGGUAGGGGAGACCGGAAUUCCUGGUGUAGCGGUGAAAUGCGCAGAUAUCAGGAGGAACACCGGUGGCGAAGGCGGGUCUCUGGGCCGGAACUGACGCUGAGGAGCGAAAGCGUGGGGAGCGAACAGG